AGAAGGUAGUAUGGAGAUUCGCCGAUAGUCAAGCAGUCUAUCAGUUUUGACUGUUGGAAUAUAAACGACUGCAACAAUGUACCGUAAAUCUAUACGGAUGCUCUUCGACUGCUUGUCGAAGUCUUUUUUGCCCCAGUCGGUAGGUCUCUAGACGUUACAGAGAACCCCGAAUAACCCAAACUGUUAAUCUUCAAUACCGCUUUGUACUUACGAUCUUGUAUCCACUGACUGUCUUAUUAGAUUAACCCAAUAAAUUUCAUUCACUCUGCAUACUCAAUCCUAUAGACACCCUUUUAAUCCUUUAAUCACAGACUUAACUCGAUUUCACAAAACAGUCAAGAGUAUUCAAACCCACUUCAU
Molecule: long non-coding RNA, 360 nt
Filed under: Physcomitrium patens
Lineage: Eukaryota; Viridiplantae; Streptophyta; Bryopsida; Funariales; Funariaceae
Description: long non-coding RNA (PPAT_LNC011486)
Source: RNAcentral